Rosa rugosa (rugosa rose) is the source of this 1020-nucleotide long non-coding RNA. RefSeq lists it as uncharacterized. NCBI's taxonomy places the organism in Eukaryota, Viridiplantae, Streptophyta, Magnoliopsida, Rosales, Rosaceae. The transcript has 5 exons. The record is from RefSeq and is a predicted model, not a curated record.
CCCACCCAAAAUCGCUCUCAGCCUCUCUGACUCACCAAAAUCGUGUUCCCUCCCUUAGCUAAAAAAUUAGGUCAUUCUCCCACCCAAAAUCGCUCUCAGCCUUUCUUUCCCUCACCAUUGCUCUCAGCCUUACUCUGACUCACUAUCAAUCCCCCUCACCCUCAAUCCAGUUCACCCUUUCACCCUCGUCAAGCCUCUAUCUCACUCACUCUCGCUCUCACUCACACUCGAUACACUCUCAGUGGGCUGUCUCCGUCGACCGAGACUCACCCUCGUUCUUCUUGGUUUAAAUCUUCUGGGUUUCAUAACUCAAUUUGUUCUUAAAGACCUUUCUAUUUCUCUCCCUUCCAAUUCAAGACCCUUUUGAUUCUUCCUCACCUUUUGUCGCCACUGUUGCUCUAAAACUUUGAUGGGUUCUCUCUAAUUCCAACUCUUCUGCAUGGGGUCUUUCUGGAGCUGCUGAGCUUUUUGACUUGAGGGGGCUCAAAGUGACUUCAACCUCCGAUAUAGCAGAGAGAGAAGACUGCGUCUUCUACAGACCAACUCGUUUCCGGAAACGAAGCCCCAAUUUGAGGUUCCAACAGGUGAAACCUUGACUUUUGGUGAUGAUAGCUUUAUGAGUUUUGAGGAGACUGGUGUCAAAGAAGUUCGGAAAGCUGCAUUUGUUCUUGUUGCUGGAGGACUUGGGGAACGUCUGGGAUACAACGGAAUUAAGGUUGCUCUUCCCAGAGAGACGACCACAGGAGCGUGUUUUUUACAACAUUAUAUCGAGACAAUAUUGGCUCUUCAAGAUGCUAGCUGUCAACUCGCAGAAGUUCACUGUGUUUUUUGGACAAGCCUCUUCCUCUAUGGAAACAAGAGCAUAAGAUAUGCUUCCGAAUUCAAAUAAGAAAAGAAGAGAAGAAAGAGGAGAAUUUGGCAGCUUUAUGUAGAUUUUAUUGGUGUAAAACUUGUUAGCUUAAUUUUUUUCUCCAGGAAUUAUUACUCCAAGAUCUAAUGUGUUUAUAUCUCAUACCAUCG